Molecule: ribosomal RNA, 451 nt
Filed under: uncultured bacterium
Lineage: Bacteria
Description: partial 16S ribosomal RNA
Rfam family: Bacterial small subunit ribosomal RNA
Source: RNAcentral
GUGGGGAAUAUUGGACAAUGGGGGGAACCCUGAUCCAGCCAUGCCGCGUGUGUGAAGAAGGCCUUUUGGUUGUAAAGCACUUUAAGCGAGGAGGAGGCUACCGAGAUUAAUACUCUUGGAUAGUGGACGUUACUCGCAGAAUAAGCACCGGCUAACUCUGUGCCAGCAGCCGCGGUAAUACAGAGGGUGCAAGCGUUAAUCGGAUUUACUGGGCGUAAAGCGCGCGUAGGUGGCCAAUUAAGUCAAAUGUGAAAUCCCCGAGCUUAACUUGGGAAUUGCAUUCGAUACUGGUUGGCUAGAGUAUGGGAGAGGAUGGUAGAAUUCCAGGUGUAGCGGUGAAAUGCGUAGAGAUCUGGAGGAAUACCGAUGACGAAGGCAGCCAUCUGGCCUAAUACUGACACUGAGGUGCGAAAGCAUGGGGAGCAAACAGGAUUAGAUACCCCGGUAGUCC